This 495-nucleotide ribosomal RNA is filed under the name uncultured bacterium. RNAcentral's name for it is "partial 16S ribosomal RNA". It matches the Rfam family "Bacterial small subunit ribosomal RNA", at positions 28 to 507 of the family's 1533-position model. The record is from RNAcentral.
GAUGAACGCUGGCGGCGUGCCUAAUACAUGCAAGUCGAGCGAACAGACGAGGAGCUUGCUCCUCUGACGUUAGCGGCGGACGGGUGAGUAACACGUGGAUAACCUACCUAUAAGACUGGGAUAACUUCGGGAAACCGGAGCUAAUACCGGAUAAUAUAUUGAACCGCAUGGUUCAAUAGUGAAAGACGGUUUUGCUGUCACUUAUAGAUGGAUCCGCGCCGCAUUAGCUAGUUGGUAAGGUAACGGCUUACCAAGGCAACGAUGCGUAGCCGACCUGAGAGGGUGAUCGGCCACACUGGAACUGAGACACGGUCCAGACUCCUACGGGAGGCAGCAGUAGGGAAUCUUCCGCAAUGGGCGAAAGCCUGACGGAGCAACGCCGCGUGAGUGAUGAAGGUCUUCGGAUCGUAAAACUCUGUUAUUAGGGAAGAACAAAUGUGUAAGUAACUAUGCACGUCUUGACGGUACCUAAUCAGAAGGCCACCUAACUACGUG